GGCAACAACUAAUAAUUGUUCAGAAACUUAUAACAAAUUCUAUGCACCUAAUUUGCCAAAGAAAGAUGUGAAAAUAAUAUAAAUAUAUAAUUGUUAGCAUUAAGCUUCUAUAGAACUUGUGCAUGCAUGUAUAUAUUUAGCUGUUGUUUUAAGUCACAAGGAACAUGUAGCACCAAUUACAGGUAUAGAGAAAUGGGACCUACCUAAAAACAAAUAAUAUGGACACGCAUGACACUUCCAAAAAUGGGGAUAAACAAAGAAGAAGAAGAAGAAAAGGGGGGAGAGAGAGAGAGAGAAACCAUCCUGACUUCCACUCCAAUGACAACAUUUUAAUUCUAUCUUGUGGUUUCUCAUGGCAGGAGGUAAGAAUAUAAAAGAAGUAAAUAUAAAAACAAAGCUUCUAUUGAAUGCCUUCUAUAAUAUCAAGAGCAUAAAAACCACCUUCUGCAAUUUCUAGAUUAGCAUAUGCAAUGAAAACAUCCCUACAUAACUCCAGCGGGACUAUAAUUCUACACAUUAUUUCUCCAUCCAAUGACCUUUGUUCAGCAUUUUUAUUUUAGCUAAACCUUUUAAUUUUAGCAAUUUUACUCUAAAACUUUGACAUUGAUAACAAUUUUAUCCAACUCAAUGAAACUGGUUGAAAAAUAUUUUUAUUUCCUACUCAAAUAAAAUAAAUAUUAAUUUUUAGUUGUGUUGAGAAGGAGUCUUGGAGAAAAUAGUUUUUUAUUUCAGUAUAUGUUUGCCUUGUACACUCUUUCUAUUUAUAUACAAUAGUCUUGAAUAUAAAAGAAGUCUAAAUGUUCUAGAAAACUAAUAAAAGAAAAAGAUAACUAUAACAAGAAAAGAAGAAAUACAAUACAAUACAAUCCCUU
This 872-nucleotide unclassified non-coding RNA is filed under the name Hevea brasiliensis (rubber tree). Lineage: Eukaryota; Viridiplantae; Streptophyta; Magnoliopsida; Malpighiales; Euphorbiaceae. The record is from RNAcentral.